This is an RNA transcript of Pygocentrus nattereri (red-bellied piranha), 1464 nucleotides long. RefSeq lists it as uncharacterized. Lineage: Eukaryota; Metazoa; Chordata; Actinopteri; Characiformes; Serrasalmidae. The transcript is spliced from 8 exons. The record is from RefSeq and is a predicted model, not a curated record.
CUAGCAGCUGCCUUGUGACCAGGCAGACCCUCACCAUAAUAUGCCACUCUGUUCAUCGUAGGAGUACUCUUCUGGAUUGUUGAGAAUGGGGGACUUCCAGCAAUUUGAUCAAGACUUCUACCAGUCUGAGUAUAAUAUUGAUAAUCAGGGGCAAGACGCAUGUGGCUAUGAAGCAGCAUAUACCAGCCCAGAUUACCACAAUAUAGAUGAUGUGGCUGCUUACUAUGACCCACCAAAGGACCAACCGUACACUGGAAUGGUGUUCCAGCCUGCGGCUCCUCCAGGGGCUGCUGAGAACACUGACUCCUUUGAGGAAGAACCCCCAUUGUUAGAAGAGCUGGGCAUUAACUUUGAUCACAUCUGGCAGAAGACUCUGACUGUGCUGAACCCACUGAAACCAGCAGACGGGAGUAUCAUGAAUGAGACAGACUUAACUGGUCCUGUACUUUUCUGCAUCGCUAUGGGCAUCACUCUUUUAAUGGCAGGGAAGGCCCAUUUUGGCUAUGUGUAUGGUAUCAGUGCACUGGGCUGUGUUGGCAUGUGUACAUUGCUGAAUCUGAUGAGCGCAUACACCAUAUCCUAUGGAUGUGUGGCCAGCGUAUUAGGAUACUCCCUGCUUCCAAUGGUGGCUCUCUCUGCCUUUGCUGUUGUUUACUCCCUACAAGGACUGUUGGGCACUUUGCUGGCCUUGUUUGUGAUUGGCUGGUGCAGUCUAUCAGCCUCUAAAAUCUUCAGCUCGACUCUGGAUAUGGGUGGACAGCAGCUGCUUGUGGCUUACCCCUGCGCUCUACUGUAUGGAGUCUUUGCCCUGCUCACUGUCUUCUGAUGGUCCACAUGGGGAAAGCUCAGCAUGCUGUCAGCAAUGUAUCCUUGGACGCAUGGCCUUUAACCUUACUUCAGGGUCAGAUACUUGCCUUGUACCUAGAAUGUGUCAGGUACGUCUUAAACAUGAACUGUUGAUAUAUGAGAUGACCUUCUCUCUUCUCCUCUCUCUCGCUAUCUCUCUCUCUCCCUCUCUCUCUUUCAGAACAAAUACUGAAUUAUGCAGGAGAAAAUGAUCUCUUUGUCCUUCUGAUCUUAUUCAUAAUUGAAGUUAUACAUGCAGAGGUGGAGUGCACCAAAAUAUCCUCAUAAGGUACACCAUGAGGAGUAAAACUGGACGUUGAUGUUUGUGAGCAGUGAUGAGAUUCCCAAAACCUUGUGUUGACAGCAACUGACCCAAAUAGUCCUUGGCCUCUGUUUAUCAUAGGUCCCUGAGGCCCUUCACCCAAUAGUCCAGGUGUGAUCCUCUACUCUGCACUGCUUUAAGCUACAGCAGUGUUCUUGGCAAGCAGAGCCUCAUGGUCUCUUUGGCUCGUUUCCCUGCAGAGAGCCCUUAGGAGAAGAAACAGAGAACAUUCUUGAUUUGUUCGAUGUAAAUGACCUUUGUAAGCAAUACACAAUGUGCUCCUUUAUGCAGUUCAA